RNAcentral lists this transfer RNA (72 nucleotides) under Kamptonema sp. PCC 6506. RNAcentral describes it as "Oscillatoria sp. PCC 6506 tRNA". It matches the Rfam family "tRNA". From Rfam's summary of the family: Transfer RNA (tRNA) molecules are approximately 80 nucleotides in length. Their secondary structure includes four short double-helical elements and three loops (D, anti-codon, and T loops). Lineage: Bacteria; Bacillati; Cyanobacteriota; Cyanophyceae; Oscillatoriales; Microcoleaceae. The record is from Rfam by way of RNAcentral.
GCAACCUUGGCCGAUCGGAGAGGCAACGAACUCAUAAUUCGUCUGAGCUGGGUUCAACUCCCAGAGGUUGCA